Long non-coding RNA from Falco peregrinus (peregrine falcon), 13729 nucleotides. RefSeq lists it as uncharacterized. The transcript has 4 exons. The record is from RefSeq and is a predicted model, not a curated record. NCBI's taxonomy places the organism in Eukaryota, Metazoa, Chordata, Aves, Falconiformes, Falconidae.
GGGCAGGGGGAUUUUAUUUCCCCCCUCGCACCCGCCGCCCCCGAGGCGCUGCCACCGCGGCUGCUGGGCUCGGCCCUGGCCAGCGCUGGGGCCGGCUGGGCUGGCACCGGUGACAUCGGGCACGGGGGAAGCUUCCGGCACCUUCUGGCAGAGCCGCCCCGUAGCCCCCCGCUGCCAACGCCUUGCCCGCAGACCCAGUGCAGAAGGGCACCAAAAGUUGUGGCAGAAGUAAGAGUUUUGUUAAAGAAGACAGGAGCGCUAGAAGGCAGCACAGCUACCCAAAUUUGAACGAUGCUAGUGCUUCAGCUCAUUAGUGCCAUUCUUACCUUGUUCUUUUCCAAAAUGAUGCUCCCCUGAUGUAUGGCUUUCAUCUUUAAUGACCGUAACUGUUUGGCCUGACCUUACUUCUGACAAGGCUAAUCAGAUAAAGCAGUCAAAACAGGCGAGAGGCUCGACUGCACGCAGCACCAGAGUGGCUCUCAGCCAUCCGACAGAGAUCUGGGGUGACUGUUGCUGUGUGUCGGUCCCCCAGGCGGUUCUGGUGCCAUGCCGCUGUGCCAGCACCUGUGUCAGGGUGGGCCCUGAUGCGACCCCUCCUCAUUCUCCCGCUGCCUCCAGUAACUUUCUUUGCUGUUGGGGAGAUCUCUGGAGGCACGUGUCUUGCUUCCGCGAAUGAACGACUUUCAAACCAGCGUUCGAAGCGCUUCAGUAUGGCACAGGGUAACGGGGCAAAAGUUCUGCCUCUGAAUAGGUGUUUUUGUAGCACCGUAGCCUCCUCGAGGUUUGAAGGUGCAUAAAAACAUAGCAUGUAUUUUAGAUGCACUUUUCCCCUGUUUUUAAUGUAUUCAGUGUUUAUUAAAGGUCGUACCCUAAAAGAGGCAGGAGGCUGUGCCCUCUGCCCUAACUGAAGCCGGGUAAAGCCCAGAAGUGCGAUAAGGCAGCAGGGAGUGGAUGGGCAAGGAGCAACAUGAAAUCAACAACAGCAUGAUGGCUUCAUUUUUUAAUGAUUUCAGCCUUAUUGAGAACUGCUCUCAGUUCUUGAGAGGAUGGGCUUAAGACUUGUCGAGAAUUCUAUGUGCUACUGAGAAUUCAACGGUGGUUUCUAGACUAACUGGUUUGCUAGAUUUUGCCCAGGAAUAACCGUGGCCCCAAACUCCCCCUUCAAUCUGGCUGACAAAAUAAGGGCUGCCUGUACCGAAGGCUUCGGCGCUGUUAUGAAUGUAUUAUCAAAGAGGCUCUUGCUUGUCGCCAGCUCCAGUUCCCUGCUUCAGCAUGUCUCCAGUGUGCCUGCCAUACAGUGCUACAACUUUACCACAAAGGUUUCGGGGUUCUUGUCUCCACCGGAGCGUAGUUUGGGAAUUAUGUUACGUUAAAUUCAGGGAACUAAACGAUCGGUUCACCUUCCUGCCUGCUCCUGGUGUCUGCCCUCACGCCAGUAACUAGUGAGCAGCUACUACAGCCUGCGUUUGGAUAUGGUGGGCUAUGAAAGGCAGGGAAACAUGUAACUGAUAGAGUUCUCAAAAAGUAUUCUAAUUGUCCCAAAGUGAAAUAAGAUGAUCAGAGCAAAUUAAGAAUGAUAUAUCAAGUUUGGUAAGGUUGGUUUGUUGGUUUUUUUUCCUUUGUUGAUUUAUUUUCUGGGAAGAAUCUAGCUUGGCUGAGUGUGCGAUUAAGUAGCUGAUGGAAUAGUUCUUUACAGAGAGGAGAAGAUGCCAGAACAUUUGAGUGGUGUAAAACUAGACUGCACAGAGGAUUAGAAAAGGUACAGGGAGGAAUAAUUUUGUGUUGGCAGGAAGUAGACUUAAUAGUACUUUUUUAUCUGUAAUUUUUAUGAUUCUACGGCUAACCAGGGAAAUGUUUAAUGUUCCUGAUACAGCAACUGAAGGUGGAAGAAGGAAGACUGACAUACCCAGCACUGUUAUAAUUCAUUUCAUUACUUCACACAGGGCUGUUAUAUUGUCAUGCCCAUAAAGCGCCAGUGUGUGUGCUUAUAGCCAAUUCAUCUUUAUAUACUGCUGCUGAUCCCAUUGAAGCGAAUGGCAAAACUCCCAUCAAUUUUAAUGGCAGUGGGAUAUGGCCCAUUUUGUAGAUAUACAAUGUAUAUUUCCUGCACACACUAUUUUUCGUGUAUAACGUGCCUCUCAUCUGAGGCUCAGAGAAUGUUUUAUAAAGUGGCUAAGUCACAACCAUUGAUGUAGUCUCCAGCUGAUGAGAUAACGUGAUCUGUCUUCAAAACGAGAUUUAAAGGUUGACAUUUAUUUAUCUAUCUAGCUAUCUAUUUAUUUAUUUAUUUUGGGCACGGUAUGCAUGUAGAAGGUCUCCAUGUGCCCAAAUAAAUUGCAGGAGGUAACUAUGUUGGAAAUAGAUGUUACACUUGCAAGGUUAACAUUAUGCUUCAGCGUUUGAAAAAUAGGAAGCAUCAAAGAAAAUUGAAGGCAGCAUGGAUCAGUGAGUUAGUACAUUACACAGCAGUCUACAGCACCAGAGGCUAAAAAUGUUCCCAUUUGGAAAGCUUCUGUUUGGAUAGCAACUCACUCAAUUAGCAAGGUAGAAACCAAAAAAAAAAAAAGUUGAAAAAAAAAAUAUUGAUUCUUUGGAUAUUUUAGCAAGUGCUUUUAUUGAGAAACCUUUUAAACAGCAGUCAGGUGUCUGUUGCAUCCAGAACACAUCAUCCUUGACCCUAUUUAAAGAAAAUGUACGAUGUAUGAGCCACAUUUUAGAAGACGUAAACCCUGUUGGUUAUGCGUUGAAAGAUCUGGAUUCAUAGCAGCAUCCAGCACGUGUGUACUGGAAAUGGAAUUGCUUGACAAGCUGAUGUUUUCACUGAAGAAGCUUCCUUUCUUCUCAAUAAUGCAUGCUGGCGAGCGGUCACAUUCACAGCUUAAUGAGAGAACAGGGGUUGUAGAGGACGCGAAUGGGAAGCUUGCAGCUUAACUAAAACUCUUUAGAAUGUAGCUGUGAGUUAUGUACCAGUAGAGACUAAAUAAUUCAGCUGACUGCACUGCAGGUGCCGGAUCACCGAGCCCUACUGUACAAUACACUCUUCCGCUCGGUGCUGGCUGCCGUCACAGGUCCUGGCACGGGGUUGUGGAAAGACUAAUGAACUCAUCCCUUGACUGGAUGUACGCAAGAGUGUGUCCAGCUUGUUGAAGUACACUUGCCUUAGUUAGCGCCAUGACGUUGAGGAGUAUUGCUUUAUGAAUGCGUUGGUUUAAGUAGCUGUGCUGUGUUGGGGUGACGCGGUAACGGGACAGACACCACCAUUCUGAAGGACAUCAGCAUCAUCUCAACGUACCAGCAGUCCACUUCUGUCCGCUCCCUUACAGCCACUCAAAAAUCGUUCUCUAAGACACAUACGAAUUAACUGGGUUUGGUUGACUGGUUUUCACCAUAUUAACAUUUUCAGAGGUUGGAUUGUUUUUUUUUAAGUAUUUAAGUAGUUUUCUGGGUUUUGUUUUUAAUUAUUAUUAUAGAUACAAAGCUAACUUGAACUGUUUUGUCCUCAAAGUCUCCAGGUCUCAUCUUUCUGUUAAGAGUUACAUGUUUUACUCAUGGAUAUGAUGUGAGGAUGUGAGCCACACAGAUCUUAGGGCAACAAAAGCCAAGCCUGGCCCAGUAGCAUUUGUUUACUCUGUAAAGGUCUGACUCCACCAAUUUCCACAAGCUGACUAACGUGGAAAUUUCUUUUUUUAAAAAAAUUAUGAAGCUGCUUUUUAAUGAGAGCAUCCAUUAUUUUUGCUGAGAAUAUAUGAUGCUUUAAUAGCAGAGGGCGGGGACGAGGAAAGCUUUUUGCCACAGAUUUUCUUCCCAUGUCCUCUCUUAAAAGACAGAGUCUUGCAACCCACGGCAGCUGUCGGUAGUCCGCAAAUUAUUUCUGCCCUCCCCAGCAGAUGUCACAGUGGCAGUUGGCAGUGUACUGUGAACUCCAGAGAUGUCAAAGACUAAAGUGAGAGAAAAUUGUUAAACAAAAAAGAUAUAAAAUGUUCUUUCUGAGACAAAAAAACAUAAAUGUCUGGGCUUCUGACAAAAACCUGUCGCCCUAGCAUAUUAUUUUUGCAGAAUACAAAAUGCUCUGACUUCUAAACUUGGCUUUGCUUUAGUCUGAGGUAUGCUGCUGCUUUUUAAAAUUAUUGAUGCUUGACCCAAGAAACACAAAGGACGUGUUUUGUUUUUUCUUGGAGCUGCAUCAUACAAACUAGCUCCCAAUGCAGAAGAGGAAGUGUUUUGGAAAAGCAUUUACAGUUGUGGGGGUGCAGAGGCAAUGGAUGCCGAAAGGGGGGUUAUGGAAGUUCAGUCUCUGAAGGCCACUCUGCUGCUUGAAGCAAUGCCACCUUUUGUGGCUUUUGGAGUUGAUUUGCAGCAGAAGUGGGUUUUUUUGAACUGGGCGAUAGAUACUAGUUCUGACAAGAAGCAGUGUCUGAGGAGGAGCAGGAGAAGAGAUGUGUUGAGCUAAAAAGAAAAAUAAAAUUAUCAGACUUUAUGCUACAUUUAAUUACUAUGGUUUUAAAAGUAUAGAGGAGCUAUGGUUGGAAUGAAUAUUACGCAAACUGGUAAAUAGAAAAAUAUGUGUAAGAUGGAUUUUGAGCCCCGAAUUUCCCACACUGGAACCAAAAUACUGCAGAGUGCACCAACUGUUUGGAAGAACAAGUAAAAAGAAAAUUAAGAUAAUUAUCAUAAUGACUGGAAUACCAAUUUGUCAGUUAUUUCGAGGUGUUUUCAAGUGACAGAAAACUUGAAUUGCUGGCUUAAAAUGAAAAUAAGUGUUUGAGGGACAAAACAGAACUCUGAACUGCUGGGUUUGUCCCCUUUCUAUGGUCUGAUUUGCAGACAUUUGUUGAUAUGGAGCUUCUCACACUAUACAAGCAGCAGGGUCUUCAUUAAAAUUUGGGAAACUCCACGUUCAGGAAGUUGAGAUGCAAUGCCCGUGUUUCAAUUGGAAGGUCAUUUUCACAAGAUAUUUCUGAAAAUGAGGGUGUAAUAAGCUGUGACCCAGCACAGACAGAAUUAUUGUUACUGGUGACCAAUUUUGGAUGAUCUGUUUUAACCACACGCAUUGGGCAGGCUCUUGGAGAACCGUACGGAAGAAGCCAGCAGAGUUGCUCUUUGCCGGCUCUACUGAGCGGAUCCAUGUUUUCCUCUGAAGUACCUGACCAUGACUCUGCAGAGACUCAAGGUUGGACUAGAUUGGACUGUGCAGGGUUUGGUUGAUGCAAGAAGGAAAUAUCUGUGUUUCUGUGAAAAAUGGUCCAAACAGAAUUUAAAAACAAUAAAAACAGAAGCUUCCCACUACACACACACGUACACACAUGCAGAGCCUUUUAGUUUAAGCUCUUCUGCCUGAAAGUUACAAACAGCUAGAGUGUGAUUGAGUUUGUGGGAUCGGAGAUAAGAAGUGAAACCUGAUUAAAUGCUUUGGGGUGUGAUUUGUUUUGUCUGUUUUAUCGAACCUGUUAGAUUAUUAAUGUCUUCUAUAUAUUUUGAAUAAGCAGAACAUUUGGAAGGAAAAAAAAACCUCUGUGCUAGGGAGAAAUGCCUUAAAAAUCUGGUCUUCCAAAGUUGUUUUUGGGUUUUUUUUUUGUGGUUUUGGUUUUUUUGAUUAUUAAAGAAAUAAAGGUGGCAAAAUUGCUAUUUCUGAAAUAGGCUAUAAUACAAGGAGAAUAUAAAAGAGCUUUCCAAGAAAGCACAUCCUCUGUUAUAUGCCACAUUAAAAGGAAAACAGGAACUCUCUUUCAUACCUUUAGUCUGCCUUAAAUGGAGUAAGGUUAACAGUGGCUAUGUGACCUAUGUCUCAAAGUCAUAUUCACUUCCUUGGAGACUUUAGGCUUUCAAAAUCAUUUCAGCACUUUGAAAACGUUAUCUUAAAGCUCAACAUGGACAGAGGUUUCAGAUAGUUCCAUAAGGCAGCUCCUCCUCCUCCCAUCCUGAUUACUUCAGGUACACAACUGCUAUUGCUGAUGGUGAAUGGGAAAGUGCAUUUGAUCUGCCACAGGGGAUUUUAAUGAAAAUAUUGUAUAGACUUGUUUCGGGGGGUGUGUGUGUGUGUGUGUGUGUGUAAGGUUAAAUUGUGUUGGAAUACCUGUAGCUGGUUUGCACUGAUCAUGGUUAUGAUGAAUAAAGCAGGACCAGGCAUGAAUGGGUGCAAAGUUCUGCAGGAGCGAUGGUGAUGCAGGCAGAGCUUAGAGAUGCCAUGGGAGCAGUUCAUCUCUAACAGCCCCUACGUCUGUGUUUUGCUCAAAUUAUGUGACAGGAUGUUGCACAGAGGAUACCUUUUGGAAGGGAGGGCAGCGUGAAGAUGCCUGUUGUUGGUAUAAUGAAGGUAAUUUCAGGCUGGGAACCAUUCCUUGGGCUAAGGAUGUUUCCAAAAGCCCAGCUGAUGUCUGCAUUCGGGCUCAAAAAUGAAUUUGGGCCCUGACAAUCCCCUUUCCAGGAAGCUGAAGGUUUGGGUCUGGGUGCAGCUGAGCCCGUAGAGGCGCACAGAUAGGUUUCACCUUCAAAAGAAUGUAAAAUCCAUUAGAAAAGCCCCAUCCCUUUGGAUAGGAAGUUCCUCCUCAUGCUCUGCUGCCAAGCGACGUGCAGCCCAGCAGAAUGAUCGGUCCCUCCUCCAGGGCAUCUCCACUGCAGCGGGCACACAGGGAAGCCCAGCCACCCUGAGUCGCCUUGCUCCCUUUGCUGCUGCUUCUUACUGCUCUGCAUCACGUUGCACUUGUGCAGCACCCUCCGUGUUUGUGAAGAGAAUUGUUUUGUUUCUUCCUACCCAAAAUUUUAGGGGAGGUAAAAAGAAAACCUGCAAGGAGUGUAGGAGAGGCAAGAGCAACUCUGGAUGGAGCUGAGCAGGGUGGUGUGGUGGGAGAGAGAAGAGAAUGAGUGCUUAAGGCGGUUGCAUUAGCAUCCAAAGUAAAGUUGUUCAAUUGGAAGCACUGACAAGGAUGAUUCCUAUGAUUUUAGGGAAGCCAGAAAGCAUAUGAAGUGGUCUCCUCUUGCACUUUCUCUCCCAGCAGUCAUUGUCUGCUGUACUGGGGGACAAGGUAUUGCACUAGUGAUGGGUCUGGUCUGAUGACAUAGGGCAGGAUUUAGGGGGUGUCGCAGUGAGAUGGCUCACUGCACAAGCUCCUCCCCCCCAAAAGGUAAUAUGUAAAGAAAAUUAAAUAAUCCUUAAGAACUAGUCUUAUUGAAUUUGUAGUAAUAUAGUGAUCCCAGGAUGCUUUUGGUUUUCAAAUUUCUGUGGGUACGUAGUAAGCGUGAAGAUUUUCUUUCAAAACAGCAAUGGUACUUCUGAAUCAGCAAAGCGCGUACCUGGUCUUUGCCCUUCUUUCCGUGGUGUGCUCCCUUUCUGAAAGCACUGGGUUAGAGCUCUGAUAAAUCUGAGAUAAGCCAGCCCUAGGCACAGCCAGCUGGGCAGCAGCCUGUCCUGGAGGAAGAAGUUAACACACGUAACAAGUGAUACUGCCGUAUCGCUGUGUUGAUGCCUUCUGAUGUUUUAUGCGAUAUAUUUGUUCAGUGAGCCUGAUGAGGUGAGAGUGAGCUCUGACCCUUUCCCCUUCCUGCCUUGAACUCGUGAUGACAAGCCUACGAUGACUUCUUUGAACUUUUGCUCCUGUACUCAGACUGGGGGGUGCAUACCCAGUGUUGACCUUUUGUUUCUCAGGGGCUUCAGGUAGGAGUAUGUUCUUGUUCUACAAUACCUAAAUAUUAUUCAACUGAGUAACUGAUUUUCUGACCUGCUCCAAAAGGUGUGCUUACAUAAAACGCGAAGUCUGUAAUGAAUGCCAGCCCAGUAAAUUUACUGCAGGGUGGACAAGAGUGAAAGUGAAGUGGUUGUUUUCUUUCAAGAGUCCAUGCAAACUGGAGUAACAGUGAAGUUAGACAUCAGUCCAUUGGCCUAAUUUAUACUGGAUCUGAGCUACUGCAGCCUCUCCUGGAGAACUGUUGUCUUGGCCAGUAUCAUGUUUGGACACAAAGUCAGCUCUAAUCUCGCUUAAGUUUCACUUCUGUGUUUCCAAGGUGAGUCAGCGGAGCCUUGCGUACAGCCUGUCAACCCAUUUCGGGUCACAGCUAUUUCCCAGAGCCAGUUUUAUAACACAUUUAUCCCAUAAACCUCCUCCAUUAAAGGACGUCAAUACAUAUGUUAGACUUAAAGAUUUCCUAACUGCUUUUACCUUGUAGCGGUGGCUGUCGCUCUGAAUCUACGUGCUGAAAACAUCUCCUGUCUGUGUCAGCAGGUCCUUUGCUCUGUAUUCUUUCCCUACAGACCCCCUGUACUUUGCGUGCCGUAUUUCCCCUAUGAAGGCUGGCAGGUAUGCUCGCAGCCUUGUAAAGGAUUUGUUAAGAAAUUAUCGGGAGACCCUCGUGUCUGAUGCAAAUAUAAACAAGUGAGCUGCAGCUUUCCUGUUCCACAGGAGAUGGCAUAAAAGCAGGGCUUGAAAAAUGGAGGAAAACACAUAGUAUGUUUAUAUGUGAAGGGAGACAAGCCUUCCUGGGAUUGCAACCGCUGGCACUGUUACAAGGCAGCAAAACCCUGGAGCAAAUCCUUAACAGGCAUAAAUGUUCUGUGGGACAAACGCUCCGCUGGUGUAACUGCUCGCAGUUUCAGCAGAGCCGUGGUAGCAGACACCAGCGAGGGGUCUGCUCCGUCCUUUCAGAGGGAGAGGCUUUCUGCAAGGUUUUACUUGCAAGUUCCAGAUGUUCACAGCACCUUGGCUUAGCAAUUAGUUUCGGACUAGAACGCCUGGGUGGCCUGGGGGUACCGGCCUAACCAAGUAAGCAGUGUGCUUUGAGCCAGGACAGCCCUCUGGAGGUGGGUUCCCUCUCAGAGGCAAGGGAAGGGUGUCCCUGGGCUUCCCCCCAAGCAUGAGCUUUCUGAAGAUGCAGAUGUACUUGUAGCUACCAGGGCUUUGCCUGGUUAUCCAAAAUGGGGCCGGACUGGGAGUACACAAAAAGUAAGAAACUGGUAAACAGGGCUUAACGAAGGGGAGAGAGACCUGAGACCAUGAGUAACAAGCUACUGACUGGCUCCCCUUUUUGCACACAGAGUUUGCUCUAACACGCUGUAGGCAAACCCAGUCCUAUCCUACCUAAAAUUUUCUGUCUUUAUUCUCGAAGUAGCAAAGACUUGUGUGCUGUCUGCUUGGUGAAAGCUACUGCACGUGGUUUAUGCAGUGCUUGCGAAGUGCAAGUUUUCUGUCUUGUCCUAUUUGAAUACCUGGAGCUGUAAAUGAGGCUCACUCAACCUUUAGUGUCUAGAAUGGUAAUAAGUUGUGCAUGUAUAUAUACAUAUACAUACAUAUAUAUAUAUAUAUGUAUACUGGUACAUAUAUUCAUGGGAAGAAUUUAUUAAAAUGUAGUGACACAAAAGUAAUUUCCACUUCAAUUUCAGAGAAUAAAGCAAAUCCAUCUUUCUGUCGGUCAUACUUCUCCCACGUUGUCUGCCUCAGAGAAUGGGAUUUCAGUCGUUCAAAUGAAAUUAGAAUGUCAUGACCUUGACCUGAAUAGAAAAAAGAAUAAUAAUAAAAAAAUAAAUAUUUAUACAGAAUAUGCCUAUCUAAUCUGUGCGGUUUCUAGGGCUGUUCAUUUGUGAGCAUUGUUAACUCGGCAGCAAUAACCUCCCAUAUUGGUGCAGCUGAAUGUCAAUAUUAACACGCAGUAUUACAUGCGUUAAAAAUGCUCCCUUUGCCUUUCUUGGGGGUGGGGUAGGGUUGUUUUGUAGUGUGUUUUUUCUUUCCUCCUAACAUGCAUGAUGAGUCUCAGGUAUAACACUCUAAAUUUUUUAUUAUAUUCAGCCAAUCCAGAUCUCAUUACAUUAGACAAACACUGUACAGGAAAAAAGUGGAUCACAGAAAUGCCACUAAUAUUAUUCAUGAAUUUUCCUACUGCAGUAGGUUGGAAACAUGCUACAAAUAGUCUCCUAUAAAUGACUUUGUUUAAGUUCUGUAUUGUAUUUCUGUAUUUUUUCAUUACUGUUUAAGAGACUUUGAUUCAUUUCUUCACAUAAAAUUCAGCGCUUCACUGUUGCUGUUUGUUCUCUAUCGUCGACGAUAAUGUUCAUCUCUCUCACCUCCUUUCCCCCUUCCUGCUGAUCUCUGGGUAUCAAUCUGUACCACAGACUGGAACUUCACAUUGCUGUAGCUUUUUCUAGAAUAGGGAUUCCCUUUUUUUUUGUUGUUUGUUUUGGUUUUUUUUUUUUAGUGUGCUUCGAAUCAGCCAUAAUUUAUGACUGCUCAAUACUGUUUCAGCUACUGUAGGUAAUAGUUUAAUUACCCGUUCUCUUCUGAUGUAAUGCUGUUUGCUUACUGGUAGUUGCUGUUUUAUGUUGUGUUGUAAAACAGCCCAAAAUAUGGGAACAGAAAUAGAUUAUUUAGUGCAUAUAUAAAACAUACAGAAUUAUAACUUCUAUUAUAUAUGUGAAAUAUAUAAGUAAACCCAAAUAAUAUUACAUAAAACAAUAUGGCAUGCAUAUGGACUAGGUCAAUGGCAUGAAGGUCUUUUGGAGAAGUCUUACUAACGGAAAAGUUCCAAUCAUAAAUUGGACCAUGCUGUAGUGUUUAAUAAAAAUAUUAUAUGUGAAAUUAAUUUCUAUAUGAUGUUUUAGAACAGUUUUGAAACAAGAUUCUAUCUAACAAAUUCCAUAGGUUUGCAGAAUAAUUUCUGUAUAAAUCCGUGGCACUUCUAUAGAGUUUUAUUGUUUCAAUUAUUCCUUCUUUUAGGUUGCACAAAACCUUCCCGUACAGAAGCACAGUAUCUUCUCCUUGUGGUUGGAUAAAGUCCUAGGGCAUCCUGUGGUAUAAAAUGCAAAAAUAAUAUGCUCUUGACAAGAACAGGUCUGUGUUUAUUGGGAAUUGUUGAUUAUCUGAAAAGAUCAGUUGUGCAUAUUAAUUCAAGAAAGCUUUUCUGCUGGUUAUGGUACGUGUAUGUUGAAUGCCUCUCCUGGUCUGUCACUGAAAUCGAGAGGGUGAGGAUGCACGAGGCUACUAGUAGGUUUGAGCUUCAAAAAAGAAAACGUGGUGAAAUGGAGCAAUGGGAAAGGCCAUGAGUGCUGUGAGUGCUUUCUCGCGAGACUACUGCAGCUAGUUCACAAAUCGUCCUCUUCUGUUGCUCUCCUGUCUUUUUGGGAGAGCUGGCAGACCCUGGGUGCUGCGUCAUCUCUGCUCUUUGUCACCCUGGUUCCAUUCUCACUGCUUUGGGACCCCCCUGGUACUGAUGCCAAAAUGACACAGAGUAACUGCUCAGAGACAAAUCUUGUCUUUAAGCAGCAAAGGUAUUUAUUUCGUGCAACGUUGGGGAGCUGGCUGGUUCGCGCCGGACAAACUAGCUCCGAAGUUUUCAGUGAAAAGUUAGGUGAUUUAUAUAGUUUAUGUGAGAGGUUACACAACGUCUUUACAUACAUACUGAUUUGAUUUUGACAAUCAUUCCAUUCACAAUAGGUGGGAUCUAGGUGGAAUAAACCUUUCAAUUUUCUUUGUUCAAGGAUUUCCUGACUUAAUGGUCUCCUUAUCUCCUUCAGGUGCCCACCUUAUCUUUUCUAAUUAUUCAGAGUACAUUCCUUUCUCAACACAAACAGAGCAUCACCCAGAGCAUUGUAACAAACCAGCCCUGACUAAUCUUUUUAUUUUAAGACCUUGUUCUCUUUCAGUACACUUCAUUGUUCACCUGGCAAGGCAGUCUUGAGGGGUUUCUCCAGUGGCGGUGACAUUACUCACCACAUAACAUCUCUGAAUACUGCCUUCAGAAGUUACUGGCAAGUGAGCAUUUUUUCUGAAGAGUUGACCUCUUGCUUGACCAUAAAACUUCAACAACAUUUCACAGCUGUUGUUUUUUGUUGGGUUUUUUUCCCCUUCCAUGUGCUGUGGAAGGAAGGGCGAACAGCGAGCUCUGCAGGGACCAGCAGAUCAGAUGACCCUGCUCCUGGCUCUUUCAUUUGUUGACCACAAGGUUUAUUUGUUGAAGUGAUCAAUUUUAUUUAUUAUUAUUUUUAUUUGUUUAUUUCAGACAGGUGAAGUGAUGCAUGAUUCGGAGUCAUUUGGCCAAGCCGAGUCUCUGUGAGUGACAGUGCGCUUUUAAUAGCUUCCUCCCGUAAUGAUUAGGCCAAUGUAAUAUAAGCAGUGCUUGAACUGGUAUUACACUCACAUAUGAAUAUUCAGUGACGUAGUAUUUUUGGUGCCAGAGCUUGUUUUCUGUAACUGUAGAAGGCCUGCUUGUCAGAUAAUACCAAUAUAUCGAUCGCUAGAAAAUGGCACUAAUUAGAGAAAUCUGAAAGGUCUAGAGGGUCAGAGAUGUGCUGCUAUAGUUGGUGUUUAUUUCUUUUGACUCAGCUGAGAGGUGUGAACUGGAUUUUUUCUAACUCGGUGGUUAGGGUGUAACAGUCUUCACUUUAAAACAGAGUUGCCAUUGGUGCUGAGUUGCUGUAGUCUCUUUUCUGUCCUCUCGUGUUUGUGACUUCUGUUCACUAAAGUUAUUAAAGCUCUUGUGCAUUCUGGAUAUGAAUAAAAAAAUAAAAAUAGCUAUUAGUACAUUCACUGUUUACUACCAGAAAACUGCUCUCCACUCCCCCCCACCCUCCCCCCCAGCAGGUUGCUGCACAGAAUACUUUGAGUUAUAGCUUUAUUUACCUUCAUCCAAGAAUUUUGCAGCAAAGGGGCUGUUAAUAAAUCUAAGCCAAAAGGGAAACACCGGUGAAAAUAUGGAAGCAUGUUCAGCCUCAGUCCCAGGUAAGCUCGUUUCGGGUUUAAUGCAAGUCCUCUGACAUAGGAACAUGUAAGAGAGACAGGGAGGAGCGCUGACAGGGGUGGCAUGGGGGGAAACCCCAAGCAUUCACAUCUGGUUUGUCUGUCUUAUUUCCUGAGCUGUAUUUCAUUGCCCUCAUUCUCUCGCUGUGCUGACUGACCAAGAAAUCGCUAAAGAUUUCCAUGCUCCAUCCUGCCGCAGGUUGGUCAGGCGAGGAAGCCGGGGGGAGGGGGGGAGGGGAGAGGCAUUCUGUAGCCCAGGUUGUGGCAUCAAAGACUGUACAGGAUAAGGCUGCAGGGCACCUUUUCACGAAUGUAGUUCACAUUUUCAUGAAUGUAGUUAAGUGAAGACAGUGCAGCCCACAGGACAGCCUGGGUGUGUUGCAAUGUUGAGGAAAACCAUUCUACUUUCUCCACACAAACCAGUAGCUGCCUCGGUAUUCCCAUGGGAGGCUGUGGCACCUGAAACCCUUCAUACCUAGGGAAAUUGCAUACUCCUGAGUAUAAGCAAGCAGGGUUUGAGGUCAAACCAUUUACUGUGCUGAGGGCUUUCCAGGGCAAUAACUAUCUUGUCCUCCUUUUCUUGUAUUUCUGCAAGGUCUAACACCAUCAAGUUCUGGUCCACAGCCACACACCUUAAUGCGUACUGUGAAAUAUACACGAGGUGUAAUACACGUAGUGGGUUCACGUUCAUGUGGAGCAAGGCGUAUCUGAACUCAGCACAGACAGGAACUCAGCUUCUGGUGAACACCCAGCCCUCUACAUGUAUCAGCUACUGAUUGAUGCUCUGCUUCCUAAUUACAUGGGAAAGCAUUAGGGACUUUUUCAAAGAACUGGUUCCUCAUCUUGCAGACUUAAAGUUCCAGGCGCAGCAGCUUUCAUCUGAUGCUGGAUGUUAUGCUGUGGCUCUGAGCCUCCUAGGGAUUGGGAGCAACAUGUUCUUGGACAACAAGAGAACAAGAGAAUUGUUCUGCAGAUACUUCUAAGGACAUAUCUGAGCCUUCAGGUCUUCUGAA